RNAcentral lists this long non-coding RNA (467 nucleotides) under Nicotiana benthamiana. RNAcentral describes it as "long non-coding RNA (NBEN_LNC002311)". The record is from RNAcentral. Lineage: Eukaryota; Viridiplantae; Streptophyta; Magnoliopsida; Solanales; Solanaceae.
AGAAUUGUUAUUUAUUCAUCACAUACAUACUUGUUUAAUUGCUCCUAUAUGAUAUGUUUGGACUGUAGACCUGUGACCAUACUGGACGAAUUGUGUUAUUGGCACGUGAGUUGUCCAUAAAACAUACGGUGGAAAUUAGGAGUACAUUGCUAAUAUAAUAGUUAAACCAUCCUAUCAUACAUGAGAAAUUGGGAGAACACUACUACAUUAGGCAGAUAUCUAGUCAAGAGCGUGAAAUAUCAUUUUGGAGAUAUUUCUAAAUUAAUACUAUACUAAAUAAGAGUAAUAUUUGCAGUCAACAAAGCAUAAAAGAGGAGUAAAGUGGUGUAUCGUGGCCACUAACAAUAGUCAGAAAGCACAUUAGAGUGGUCAAGUGGUUCACCGUCCCCAACCCCACAAAUAAAGAAAAAGUCGCACCAAGUACUCCAACCAUUUCGACUUUAUAUUUUUAUGUGGACUAGAAAGUU